Molecule: ribosomal RNA, 464 nt
Filed under: Vreelandella stevensii
Lineage: Bacteria; Pseudomonadati; Pseudomonadota; Gammaproteobacteria; Oceanospirillales; Halomonadaceae
Description: partial 16S ribosomal RNA
Rfam family: Bacterial small subunit ribosomal RNA
Source: RNAcentral
CUACGGGUGGCAGCAGUGGGGAAUAUUGGACAAUGGGGGGAACCCUGAUCCAGCCAUGCCGCGUGUGUGAAGAAGGCCCUCGGGUUGUAAAGCACUUUCAGUGAGGAAGAACGCCUGGUGGUUAAUACCCAUCAGGAAAGACAUCACUCACAGAAGAAGCACCGGCUAACUCCGUGCCAGCAGCCGCGGUAAUACGGAGGGUGCGAGCGUUAAUCGGAAUUACUGGGCGUAAAGCGCGCGUAGGUGGCUUGAUAAGCCGGUUGUGAAAGCCCCGGGCUCAACCUGGGAACGGCAUCCGGAACUGUCAAGCUAGAGUGCAGGAGAGGAAGGUAGAAUUCCCGGUGUAGCGGUGAAAUGCGUAGAGAUCGGGAGGAAUACCAGUGGCGAAGGCGGCCUUCUGGACUGACACUGACACUGAGGUGCGAAAGCGUGGGUAGCAAACAGGAUUAGAUACCCUGGUAGUC